Molecule: non-coding RNA, 734 nt
Organism: Arachis ipaensis
Lineage: Eukaryota; Viridiplantae; Streptophyta; Magnoliopsida; Fabales; Fabaceae
Source: RefSeq, a predicted model, not a curated record
CUCUGCGCCAUCACCACUCACUGUAACAUCCCUAAUUUCUAACCCUAAAUCUCAAAAUCCCAAAUUAACUCAGAAAAUCCUAAUUUCCCCAAUUCCUAACCCUAACAGCCGCAACCUCACCCUCCUUCAAUGUAACAAACAAAAGCAGCCACUGUAGAGAGAAGAGGGAUCGGGAGAAGAAGAGAAGAGAGGAAAGGCCUGUCCAGCCGUCACCACCGCAGCGCCGCUGCAGCUAUUGCCACCUUCAGAGUUGCGGAAAGUGGUCCUCCCUGGCGUCGAAUGCCGCCAUCGUGUCGCACAUGAGAGAGAGAGAGAGACAGAUUCGAGAGGAGCUACCGACGAUCGCUGCCGUCGAAGCCAGGCUCGUUACCGUCACCACCCAAGAAGCUGUGAGGAGCCGCUGUCGUGCUCGUGUCGCUGUGCACCGUCGAGCUUCCCUCACCCUGAGCCGUCGAUCUGUCGCCACCGCUACAAGGGCUUGUCGCUGGAGCCACGACUGUCACUGAGCUUCCGUCGCCGCUGCCGUUCAACCCGCUGCUGCCGUCGAUUUGGAGUUGCUGCGAUUGGAGCCACUAGCGGGGUUCGUUGAGUUCGGAUUCCUUGUGCUACUGUAACUGUCAUUACUGCUGUGGAAACCAACGUUUCUGUUUGGCUGCUGCUGAAGGUCUUCCACCAUCACUGGAGCUGCCCAGAAUCAUCGUGGAAGCUGCCAAGAUAUAUGGUUGAUUUCUAAU